This 180-nucleotide ribosomal RNA is filed under the name uncultured Glomeromycotina. RNAcentral's name for it is "partial small subunit ribosomal RNA". The stretch from base 90 to 180 matches the Rfam family "Eukaryotic small subunit ribosomal RNA", at positions 733 to 826 of the family's 1831-position model. The record is from RNAcentral. Lineage: Eukaryota; Fungi; Glomeromycota.
GGAAUGGGACAUAUCGGUCGUGCCUUUAGGGGCAUGAAUCGGUGUGUGGCCAGUUCUCACCUUCUGGUGAAUUGGGAUGCUCUUGGGUGUUUCAAUGAACUAGGACUUUUACUUUGAAAAAAUUAGAGUGUUUAAAGCAGGCCUACGCUUGAAUACAUUAGCAUGGAAUAAUAGAAUAGG